CCUACGGGCGGCAGCAGUGGGGGAUAUUGCUCAAUGGGGGGAACCCUGAUGCAGCGACGCCGCGUGGGUGAAGAAGCGCCUCGGCGCGUAAAGCCCUGUCAGCAGGGAAGAAAAUGACGGCACCUGAAGAAGAAGCCCCGGCUAACUACGUGCCAGCAGCCGCGGGAAUACGUAGGGGGCAAGCGUUAUCCGGAUUUACUGGGUGUAAAGGGGGCGCAGACGGCGAUGCAAGCCAGGAGUGAAAGCCCGGGGCCCAACCCCGGGAGUGCUCUUGGGACUGCGUGGCUGGAGUGCAGGAGGGGCAGGCGGAAUUCCUGGUGUAGCGGUGAAAUGCGUAGAUAUCAGGAGGAACACCGGUGGCGAAGGCGGCCUGCUGGACUGCAACUGACGUUGAGGCCCGAAAGCGUGGGGAGCAAACAGGAUUAGAUACCCUUGUAGUC
This 440-nucleotide ribosomal RNA is filed under the name uncultured bacterium. RNAcentral describes it as "partial 16S ribosomal RNA". It matches the Rfam family "Bacterial small subunit ribosomal RNA", at positions 338 to 795 of the family's 1533-position model. The record is from RNAcentral.